This 278-nucleotide ribosomal RNA is filed under the name uncultured prokaryote. RNAcentral describes it as "partial 16S ribosomal RNA". It matches the Rfam family "Bacterial small subunit ribosomal RNA", at positions 524 to 800 of the family's 1533-position model. The record is from RNAcentral.
UACAGAGGGUGCGAGCGUUGUUCGGAAUCACUGGGCGUAAAGCGCGCGCAGGCGGGACUUGCAAGUCGGGAGUGAAAGGCCGGGGCUCAACCCCGGAGCUGCUUUCGAGACUGCGGACCUGGAGACCAGUAGGGGUUGGUGGAAUUCCCGGUGUAGCGGUGGAAUGCGUAGAGAUCGGGAAGAACACCGGUGGCGAAGGCGGCCAACUGGGCUGGAUCUGACGCUGAGGCGCGAAAGUGUGGGGAGCAAACAGGAUUAGAUACCCGGGUAGUCCCUGA